This 253-nucleotide ribosomal RNA is filed under the name uncultured bacterium. RNAcentral's name for it is "partial 16S ribosomal RNA". It matches the Rfam family "Bacterial small subunit ribosomal RNA", at positions 524 to 776 of the family's 1533-position model. The record is from RNAcentral.
UACAGAGGUCCCGAGCGUUGUUCGGAUUCACUGGGCGUAAAGGGUGCGUAGGCGGUCGGGUAAGUCUGACGUGAAAUCUUCAAGCUUAACUUGGAAACUGCGUCGGAUACUAUUCGGCUCGAGGAAUGGAGGGGAGACUGGAAUACUUGGUGUAGCAGUGAAAUGCGUAGAUAUCAAGUGGAACACCAGUGGCGAAGGCGAGUCUCUGGACAUUUCCUGACGCUGAGGCGCGAGAGCGUGGGGAGCAAACGGG